RNAcentral lists this transfer RNA (83 nucleotides) under Dermacentor silvarum. RNAcentral describes it as "transfer RNA leucine (anticodon AAG)". It matches the Rfam family "tRNA". Rfam says of the family: Transfer RNA (tRNA) molecules are approximately 80 nucleotides in length. Their secondary structure includes four short double-helical elements and three loops (D, anti-codon, and T loops). Lineage: Eukaryota; Metazoa; Arthropoda; Arachnida; Ixodida; Ixodidae. The record is from RNAcentral.
GGUAGCGUGGCCGAGCGGUCUAAGGCACUGGUUUAAGGCACCAGUCUCCUCGGAGGGCGUGGGUUCGAAUCCCACCGCUGCCA